RNAcentral lists this non-coding RNA (39 nucleotides) under Trypanosoma brucei brucei. The record is from RNAcentral. Lineage: Eukaryota; Euglenozoa; Kinetoplastea; Trypanosomatida; Trypanosomatidae.
CACACAAAUAGAUGACAGAGAUAGAAAGUAAGAUGAUAU